GACUCUGGACAGUGGAUGACUUGACUCGUGUGUCUCUAAGAAUACAGUUAGCUGUAAGAGUUAUCGUGAAUGGCAGAAGGACACAUUGACUUCUGACAGUUUGAAUGCACUUGUGGCCCCAGGUUCAUCUCAGAGCUAUGCCUGUCUGAACAUCA
RNAcentral lists this ribosomal RNA (155 nucleotides) under Sphenodon punctatus (tuatara). RNAcentral's name for it is "5.8S ribosomal RNA (ENSSPUG00000004874.1)". It matches the Rfam family "5.8S ribosomal RNA". Rfam says of the family: 5.8S ribosomal RNA (5.8S rRNA) is a component of the large subunit of the eukaryotic ribosome. It is transcribed by RNA polymerase I as part of the 45S precursor that also contains 18S and 28S rRNA. Functionally, it is thought that 5.8S rRNA may be involved in ribosome translocation. The record is from Rfam by way of RNAcentral. Lineage: Eukaryota; Metazoa; Chordata; Lepidosauria; Sphenodontia; Sphenodontidae.